AAAUUUGUAGGUCAACACACUUUGAAUAAAGUAAACAAAUCAUAUAUUGACAAGUAACAGUCAUUGGUAUAUAAAACAAAGAGUACGGAUGAAAGAACACAGCCCUGUGGAGCUCCAGUAGACGUUGAGA
Molecule: long non-coding RNA, 130 nt
Organism: Haliotis rubra (blacklip abalone)
Lineage: Eukaryota; Metazoa; Mollusca; Gastropoda; Lepetellida; Haliotidae
Exons: 2
Source: RefSeq, a predicted model, not a curated record